UACGUAGGGUGCGAGCGUUGUCCGGAAUUAUUGGGCGUAAAGAGCUCGUAGGCGGUGUGUCACGUCGGCCGUGAAAACCUGCAGCUUAACUGUGGGCGUGCGGUCGAUACGGGCAUCACUGGAGUUCGGCAGGGGAGACUGGAAUUCCUGGUGUAGCGGUGAAAUGCGUUGAUAUCGAUAGGAACUCCGGUGGCGAAGGCGGCAUACUGGACCACUUCUGACGCUGGGGCGCGAAAGCCAGGGGAGCAAACGGG
Molecule: ribosomal RNA, 254 nt
Filed under: uncultured bacterium
Lineage: Bacteria
Description: partial 16S ribosomal RNA
Rfam family: Bacterial small subunit ribosomal RNA
Source: RNAcentral